RNAcentral lists this ribosomal RNA (405 nucleotides) under uncultured bacterium. RNAcentral describes it as "partial 16S ribosomal RNA". It matches the Rfam family "Bacterial small subunit ribosomal RNA", at positions 30 to 526 of the family's 1533-position model. The record is from RNAcentral.
AUUGAACGCUGGCGGCAGGCCUAACACAUGCAAGUCGAGCGAGCGGCGGACGGGUGAGUAAUGUAUGGGGAUCUGCCCGAUAGAGGGGGAUAACUACUGGAAACGGUGGAUAAUACCGCAUACUCUGGGAUGAACCCAUAUGGGAUGAGCUAGUGGGUGGGGUAAGGGCUCACCUAGCGACGACCUCUAGCUGGUCUGAGAGGAUGAUCAGCCACACUGGGACUGAGACACGGCCCAGACUCCUACGGGAGGCAGCAGUGGGGAAUAUUGCACAAUGGGGGCAACCCUGACGCAGCCAUGCCGCGUGAAUGAAGAAGGCCUUCGGGUUGUAAAGUUCUUUCGGUAGCGAGGCGUUAACUACAGAAGAAGCACCGGCUAACUCCGUGCCAGAAGCCGCGGUAAUAC